RNAcentral lists this ribosomal RNA (271 nucleotides) under uncultured bacterium. RNAcentral's name for it is "partial 16S ribosomal RNA". It matches the Rfam family "Bacterial small subunit ribosomal RNA", at positions 524 to 794 of the family's 1533-position model. The record is from RNAcentral.
UACAGAGGGUGCAAGCGUUAAUCGGAAUUACUGGGCGUAAAGCGCGCGUAGGUGGUUGUGUAAGUUGGAUGUGAAAGCCCCGGGCUUAACCUGGGAACUGCAUUCAAAACUGUAUGACUAGAGUAGAGUAGAGGGAAGUGGAAUUUCCGGUGUAGCGGUGAAAUGCGUAGAUAUCGGAAAGAACACCAGUGGCGAAGGCGGCUUCCUGGACUCAUACUGACGUUGAGGCGCGAAAGCGUGGGUAGCAAACAGGAUUAGAUACCCUUGUAGU